AUGGGGGUAAAAAAUACGCGGGUCACAAAGAAACGGGUCAAAAACCCAUAUUCAAUCAAAAUAAAACCUCUGCUCAGAUCAAACUGACGGACUAAAAACUCGGCUCCAUCUUCUUCCCUCCUCUCUCACACGAUAAAGUAGCAGACAGAAGAGCUUAUCAGAAGCAGAGACAAACAGAUCUAAAGGUAAAACUCCAUAACUUUAUUGGGUUUGUAUAUUUUUUCAGGUAUUUGAAAAUCUAGGGUUUGUUCUUUAAAAAUUCCUCUUUUUCCGGCGGUUUCUCGUCGUGGCUGUUGGUCUGCUGGUUGCGUUGGCCGCGCAUGAAUUUGUUUGCUUUCUCGUGGCCUAAUUUCUUUAAUCGUUGCCUAAUUCGUACAAACUCAGAAUCUAAAUGUACGAAUUUCUUUACUUUGAUUUUGUUUUUAUUUUUUUUAUAAAUAUCUCAUUUGUUGGUGAUGUUCACCUCAUCGAUAUUCUUUUUCAUUUCUGGAUUUCCUUUAAUGGCUUUGUUAAUUUUGAAUCUGAUUUUGGAAGCUUUGGGUUUGCUUCAGUGUUCCUAUUUGUAGUUUAUAAUGUCUUAUUAUAUAUCACUUUCUGUGAAAACAUGUGGAAGUUGGGAAUUAGAGCUUUAUUUCUUAUUGAAGGAAUAAAAUCUUUCUGCUCAUUCCAAUCAUAUCAGGCGGGGUUCCUUUUUUUAAGCCUCAAGAGACUAAAUUUUGGAGCAAUGUAUUAGUUUUAAGAUGGGUAUUACUAAUUGUUUAAGAAGUUGAAUAUUUUUUUAGAAAGGUUGUAAAACCCGGAAAGUGAAGGGGUUUUGGAUAGAAAUUAAGUUUAGCCCCUCCCUAAAUGCCCCCUAAAUGGCAGCUAAAUUCUACUGCUCUCAAAGUUUGAUGUUCUUAAAUUUAAAACAUAUUACAAGUCAAAUUUAAAGUUGAAAAAAUAGAAUCUGCCCUUUCUUUAGGAGGGUCAUUUUAUGGGAUCAGUGUUGUUCAAAUUUGGUAACAGAUUAGGGGGCCAGAGAAGUGCUGCAUAUUACUUUAUUGUAUGUGUGUUUGAGUUUUACAUUUUUGCAUUAGUGGUUAUCAAUAGGUUAUCUUUCCUCGGUUGUCCUGGUAUUUAUAUGUUACCGCCCUCACAAGUUGAAUCAUGCUGCUUCCUUUUAGAAAUUUAAAUUGAAAGAUCCCACUUGAAGUGAUAUCAUUGUAUUGGUUCGUAGCAGUUGUGUACUCUUAUAUUACUAUGAUAUCAUCUGGUGUGGAGCUUUCAGUUUGUUUAAAAGAGAAAAUAAAAGAUUAUUAGAUGAAAAUAGUAAUGAUAAGAAUGCAAUCCUGAGUAUAAUGAAUCUUUUAUGUUCCUGAAACACUAAGAACACGUCAUUUAGAAUUUCUUCUCUUUCUUUCAUACCUCUCAAAGAAAUUAUAUUAAAUCUUCUACAAGUUGUUGGCUUUACACAGAUUUAUUCCCACUUAUAUUCUAUGGGACUUCUUGUGAAAAUUUGAUACUACAUACUUUUAAAUACCAGAGCCAAAUGGUUGAAAUUUUUCUUAACUGCAUUCUGAUUUGAAAAUUUUGGUAACUACAUCCUACUUCCUGCAAGCUCUUUAAUUGUGAACAUGGUCCAAUAUAUAGUUACAAUGAGUAAAGGAACAUUUCAACAUGGUAACUUGGUACAUAUUUUUCAACUUGGUACAUGGUAACUAGGUACAUAUUUUUCAAUUUUGCGAAAAUGUGAACUAGGAAUCUGUCUUAUUACUUAGCUUGGAUAACAUGGUACAUUAUUUUCAAUUUUACAUGUUUGUCUCAUGUUUUGUAAUUGUAUUCAGUAUAUGGGGCCUCCUCUGAGUUGCUAACUUUACAAUAUAAUAGGGGAUGCAACUGAUUUGGUAUUUUGUUUCUAUCAGGAAUGGGGCAGAGAGAGGGGUUCCAGCUAGCGUUACCUUCAAUUCUACCAGCAACCACUACAUCUGAAAAAGUGGUGCUUAUCUUUUUAAGCAAACUCAGUCUGGAAUAGAAGUAUGCUGUUGUUGUUAAACUCUGAAUAUUCUGUUUGAAAUUGGGCGUCCUGAUCUGAGAAUCAGACUUUUCCAGGAGAAAUUUAGUUAUGAAAGUUUUUUAAAUCUGUAUAUAUUGUGAUGUAUGUGUAUUUUGGAUGUUGUCUGUAGCUAAGGCUUUUUCAAAAAUGAUUCUUACUAUAUGAUGAGUGGCCUAUUGCACAUGUCAAUGCAUUAAUUGUUAAAUUUGAAUAUAUCACCUGCAUGUGUGAAAAGUAAUAAGCCUCGUGGACGAUUCCAAAUGCCAAUAUAAUAAUGUAGAG
RNAcentral lists this long non-coding RNA (2314 nucleotides) under Panax ginseng (ginseng). RNAcentral's name for it is "long non-coding RNA (PGIN_LNC010521)". Lineage: Eukaryota; Viridiplantae; Streptophyta; Magnoliopsida; Apiales; Araliaceae. The record is from RNAcentral.